GUCUAUGGCCAUGCUACCCUGAACAAGCCCGAUCCCAUCUGAUCUCAGAAGCUAAGCAGGGUCGAGCCUGGUAGUACUUGGAUGGGAGACCACCUAGGAAGACCAGGUGCUGUAGGCU
RNAcentral lists this ribosomal RNA (118 nucleotides) under Pteropus alecto (black flying fox). Lineage: Eukaryota; Metazoa; Chordata; Mammalia; Chiroptera; Pteropodidae. The record is from RNAcentral. RNAcentral also lists the same sequence under 1 other name.